GCCUUGCUUUUGCUACCUCAGGUUAUGAUUACAGUCAUGCCGUUUUCAGGGAGACAUGCCUGAGACUGCCUUGCGUUGUACAUGAUGUUCCAGGCAGGCAGCAAGUAACUCUCAUGCUCCAUGACUUACUUGGUUUUGCAGGUGCCCAAAGUGAGCCCAGGCUGUUGACCUGAACAUGCUAUUCCUCUGAAAGCCUUUGAACUUUGAGUUUUCUUCCCUGAGUUCGCCAGAACAAAGUUGUUCAUCUCCUGGACGUAAUGAAAGGCCAGUUUUCUUCCAUCCCAUUCCCAGACUGUUUAGGCAAUGUAAUACUUGAAGUAAGCUUUAUUUUUUAAAAUUUUUAAUGCCAUAUAAUCUGUUUCAUGUAAACUUCCUGGACAAGAUCCUGGACACCUUGUAUACGCCUGCUUUAACCAUUUGGUCUGUCUCAUGUUUAUCUCUGUCUUGUAGUAACAAGUGUUCCAGUUUCCUCCUGUUUCCUUUUCAGAUUUUACCUUCUGCAUCACCCACACGGAGGCUGAGUGUGUCUUUUUUCCCAUAUGCCAUGGCUGGCAAUAAAAAUGAACCUCAUGACAGCAAGGAGGAGUUUGCACUUCAGAACUGUUUUAUCACAGAAAGCGUAACAGCAUGCAUCUUCUUCUGGGGAUGGAGUCAUGCAGUGAAUAGACAUGGCAACAAGCAAGGGCCCUGAAGUAAGGCAUGAAAACUGCGCGCUAUUCCUAAGUGGAGUAAAAAGCUGGGCAUUUCCCUCACACCUUAAGGAAAAGUGACGAAUGGCACAAAAUGCUGCUCUUGUGGAUGAGAAAUUAAAUGUGGAAUGGAGGGGUGAGACCAUCUGAAAUACUGCACCUACUUUCAGGCAUUGUCCUUGACUGGAAAUGUGGACUCACUGGAGGGAAUUCAGAGGGCAGCAAAGGGAACGUGAGGUUUAGGAAAUGAAGAAAGUUUCAGAGCACUGGCUAUGUUUAAUCCAGAAAAUGAAACUCUGAGUGGGGAACAUGAGAAACCUUUCAUUAUGUAAAAGGGUGCUAUUAAAGAAGAUAAUGAUCAGUUGUUCUCUUUGUUCAUUUAGGAAGUGCAGGAAGAAAUCAGAUUAAUUUUUGCUUACUCUGCAGCUAAAAAGACUCAGGCUGGAUACUAUGAAAAGUUUGUUAAGGUAGUAGUAUUCCCAUUAGUCUACCUGAGGGUGCACAACAUCCUCAUUUCUUCAUUGGUUUAUUACCAAAAAUCUCAGUACCUGAAAUGUGCUUUAGAUACACUUCCUCUGCAUUUUGUAACUUCUUGAUGUGUCUUCAGGCCACACAGAACUACUGAGCAAUUUCUGGAUAAAUCAAACAAAGAUGCCGUGUUUCUAACAAUAUGUGCUAAUUAUCUUGAGAGCACUGUCUGAGAGAUUAUGGGCUCACCCAUUCCCAUUCAAUUCUCACGUUGAGCUUUGGAGAGAGCUAAGCAUGCCAUAGUCUAAUAAAGCACAGGAGAAAAGUAAAUUGGAAAAUCAAAACCCCUCAGAGGAUAACAAAAACAUGGAAAAUGAUUGAUUGAUUAAAUGAUUAAUGCAAAGAAUGUCUGAAGAUGCUGUGGGGAGAAGGAACAGUUGCAGGCGUGUGAGAAAGUGGCCUCGGCAAAGCGAGGCAUGCAGGUGACGAAGGAAUAUCUUCCUGACAUAGAACUGUGAAAGAGCCAUGUGAAAAGUGGGAGAGUGGGCAGAUUAAAGCAGUGGCAGAUGAAGCGUAGGAGGCAGCAAAGAAAAGCUGAAACAUACAUGAGGAUGAAGUAAUAGAUCUCCUUCCCCCUUCCUUAAAUUACCGGAUGGGAGGUGGGGCUGGUUUGAAAGAGCUGUAAAGGAGAGCGAAAGCACUCUUCAGUCUGGACCUGCCCUGCACAGCUCCUGAGGAAGACUUAGUGUCGUCAGAAACCACUGGCUCUCCCCGUGCCUGCCUGUUCAGAAGCACUUUCCUACUUUGGACACUGCAAAUACUCAGUGGUGUCUGGAGCUCAUGUUCCUUCUCCUGUGCCAGCCUGUGUGGACAUGGAAAAGAGAAAGGACAAUCACCUGCAAGAUGGUAAAUCAUCAGCUGAGGAUCAACUUUGAACAGAUUAAAUGAAGAACAGUUG
Long non-coding RNA from Pygoscelis adeliae (Adelie penguin), 2115 nucleotides. RefSeq lists it as uncharacterized. The record is from RefSeq and is a predicted model, not a curated record. Lineage: Eukaryota; Metazoa; Chordata; Aves; Sphenisciformes; Spheniscidae. The transcript has 3 exons.